UGGUAGAUGCACCCUGGUUAAUGCCCUGGCUAUCGAGUCUAGGGCUUUUUCUA
Small RNA from Planktothrix tepida PCC 9214, 53 nucleotides. It matches the Rfam family "Nitrogen stress-induced RNA 1". Lineage: Bacteria; Bacillati; Cyanobacteriota; Cyanophyceae; Oscillatoriales; Microcoleaceae. The record is from Rfam.